UGAAAUUGAAAGAGAGGUUAGGUGGAGAGAAGAGAGAAAGGUUUAGAAGAUGAGUCGCCAUUAGCGGGUGGUGCAAACGUGAACCACUGAAAUUAUCUGUUACUCCAUAAUAAAGGUUUGAGAUAUGAUAUGAUAUUCUCUCCGUUAAAGUUAAUAUUAGAGGUGAAAGUUAGAUACCGGUAAUCUGGUACAGAGCCGUGAUAUUCACGGGACUUGUUUUAUUACACUAAACACCGGCACGUUUUCCUCCUUACAAUAAUCUGGCGGCAUCAAUUUU
Molecule: long non-coding RNA, 277 nt
Filed under: Trifolium pratense (red clover)
Lineage: Eukaryota; Viridiplantae; Streptophyta; Magnoliopsida; Fabales; Fabaceae
Description: long non-coding RNA (TPRA_LNC013513)
Source: RNAcentral